AUUCUAUCUUAUUCCACAGUAC
This 22-nucleotide microRNA is filed under the name Ciona intestinalis (vase tunicate). Its description in RNAcentral is "cin-miR-5596b-5p". Lineage: Eukaryota; Metazoa; Chordata; Ascidiacea; Phlebobranchia; Cionidae. The record is from miRBase by way of RNAcentral.